CCUCUCAUGAGGCCGUCCGUCAUCCCGUCAUCUUUCUCGUCAUGACCAUGACACGCGCCGUGCCCGGGCCGUACACAUAACCCCGGUGACGGCGCCCGUUCCCCGCGGACGGGCGCCCGUGUCUCGACCCCCCACCCUCCGCCGCCAUGUGGGUCCGUUCCCGCGACGGGAUCCUCAUGUGGCUCUGGGUGGUGAAGGAAUACACGGCCGGUGAUGACAGCGACGGACGGAACAACGAUGGCGGCGGCCGCGCCGGCUGCCGUCACCGUCGCUGCUGCUACUCCUGCCGAGACGGCCAGAUCUAAGGGGGGAACGGGGUAAUUUAUUAUUGUUUGUACUUCUCGACAGCUUUUUUAUAUCACGAUUCUUUUGAUACCUGCUACACCUAGAUACCUUUUUGAUACGUUUUCUUCGGAUGUCACAAGACACAAAAGAGUUUUGAAGAUGAUCAUGGACUACUACUACAUUACACUACCACGACCGUUACGACCACUGUCGCCGUUACCUCUGACCCGUCGACAGCAGACAGAGAACCGACCCCGAGAAACUUCUCUUCCUGUUCGACACCGCGGUAUCGGACAUUUAAAAAGAAUCAUGCUUUAGAAAUCACUAUUUUUUGUACCAAGAAAACACUAAGCAGCCGAGAGAUGCCAGCAAGAGACGACGACCAUCGCAAACACAGUACAAUCUUAGAAUGAACCAGCGAAACCAUCAUACUUAACAGCAGAAUCUCAUGAACCAGUCAACCAUCGUAACAGAAACAUCAUGAUCUUAGGAACCAGCGAAUAAGACCAUCUUGAUGUAAUAGCAUCAUUAAGUACCUUUAUGAACCAGCAGCAUUUCAGUAUACACCAGAUAUCCUCUUUCUCCUGUUAUGAUAUUUUUGUAAAUUUUUCGAUUCUUUUGUCUCUCCCUGGGGGGCUCAGAACUUCUUCCUAUUAUCCCGUUUGUUGAUGAUACGUAUUUAUCCAGUCUCAGAUUUUUGAAGCAAAAGACUAGCAGCAGCCAAAAUAAACCUGAUGAAAGCUUUAAU
This 1033-nucleotide long non-coding RNA is filed under the name Panine betaherpesvirus 2 (Chimpanzee cytomegalovirus). RNAcentral describes it as "RNA1.2". The record is from RNAcentral. Lineage: Duplodnaviria; Heunggongvirae; Peploviricota; Herviviricetes; Herpesvirales; Orthoherpesviridae.